GAUGAACGCUGGCGGCGUGCCUAAUACAUGCAAGUCGAGCGAACGGACGAGAAGCUUGCUUCUCUGAUGUUAGCGGCGGACGGGUGAGUAACACGUGGAUAACCUCCCUAUAAGACUGGGAUAACUUCGGGAAACCGGCUCUAAUACCGGAUAAUAUUUUGAACCGCAUGGUUCAAAAGUGAAAGACGGUCUUGCUGUCACUUAUCGAUGGAUCCGCGCUGCAUUAGCUAGUUGUUAAGGUAACGGCUUACCAAGGCAACGAUGCAUAGCCGACCUGAGAGGGGGAGCGGCCACUGUGAGGGUGAGACGCGAAACAGAGUCGGACGGGAGGCAGCAGUAGGGAAGCUACGGAAAUGGGCGAAAGCCUGAAGGAGGAACGGCGCGUGAGUGAAGAAAGGCUUCGGGUCGUAAAACGCUGUUAGUGGGGGAAAACAUAUGUGUAAGUAACGGAGCGAAACUGAAGGGAACCGAAAAAGAAGGCCAGGGUAAACUAGGG
Molecule: ribosomal RNA, 496 nt
Filed under: uncultured bacterium
Lineage: Bacteria
Description: partial 16S ribosomal RNA
Rfam family: Bacterial small subunit ribosomal RNA
Source: RNAcentral